AGCGAACGCUGGCGGCGUACUUAACACAUGCAAGUCGAACGGGGAUCGACACGUGAGCAAUCACGUGGCGGUCUUAGUGGCGUACGGGUGAGUAACACGUGGGCAACCUGCCCUUGAGUCUGGGAUAACCUCCCGAAAGGGAGGCUAAUACCGGAUACGGUCCUCGGGUCGCGAGAUCUGAGGAAGAAAGGUGGCGCAAGCUACCGCUCUUGGAGGGACUCGCGGCCUAUCAGCUAGUUGGUGAGGUAACGGCUCACCAAGGCUAUGACGGGUAGCUGGUCUGAGAGGACGACCAGCCACACGGGGACUGAGACACGG
RNAcentral lists this ribosomal RNA (318 nucleotides) under uncultured bacterium. RNAcentral's name for it is "bacterial SSU rRNA". It matches the Rfam family "Bacterial small subunit ribosomal RNA", at positions 29 to 329 of the family's 1533-position model. The record is from RNAcentral.